RNAcentral lists this ribosomal RNA (253 nucleotides) under uncultured bacterium. RNAcentral describes it as "partial 16S ribosomal RNA". It matches the Rfam family "Bacterial small subunit ribosomal RNA", at positions 524 to 776 of the family's 1533-position model. The record is from RNAcentral.
UACGAAGGGUGCAAACGUUACUCGGAAUUACUGGGCGUAAAGGGUGCGUAGGUGGUUGUUUAAGUCUGCUGUGAAAGCCCCGGGCUCAACCUGGGAAUGGCAGUGGAUACUGGACAGCUAGAGUGCGGUAGAGGGUAGUGGAAUUCCCGGUGUAGCAGUGAAAUGCGUAGAGAUCGGGAGGAACACCAGUGGCGAAGGCGGCUACCUGGACCAGCACUGACACUGAAGCACGAAAGCGUGGGGAGCAAACAGG